Long non-coding RNA from Coffea arabica (coffee), 703 nucleotides. RefSeq lists it as uncharacterized. The record is from RefSeq and is a predicted model, not a curated record. Lineage: Eukaryota; Viridiplantae; Streptophyta; Magnoliopsida; Gentianales; Rubiaceae.
UCAAGAAAAAAAAAAAGAAGCUACUCGUCUCUCUCACGCUCUGUCGCCAUUUACCCGUCUAUACUCUCUCUAGUCGUCUCUGAAUCUCUGGCUGCCAUUGCUAUCUCCAUUGUCUUCAUUGUCGUUGGCUCUACUUUCUAAUCUCUCGGCCUUCAUUUUGCUCCCCCUCAUUCGAGUCUCUACUCACCUGUUCAUCUCUCACUCUCCUUACGCCAAUGCCGUCUCUGGCUUUUAGCCACUCUUUGGCCCACGAAAACCACCAAAGCUUGCUUCUUCUGCCUCUCAAAUCUUCAAUGGUUAGCUUCAGUCAAGUCAAUAGCACAAGCAAUGGGUAGGUCACGUCACGAACUCAGAUUGGAGAAGAAACCAACCAUUGGAGGCUUGGAGCUCAUUUAAGAGCUUUGCGACGGAUAAAAUAGCGCUUUGUGGCUUAAAAAAAAGGAGCUUGUUGGUAGUUGCCUACAGUGAAAUCAAUAUUUUAUAGCUUCAUUGCAAAUUUAUUGAAAUAUUUUUUUUUUUUUUUCCUUUCUGGAAUCUGAGUUGUUACUAUCAUGCCUGGACUAAGCAUGAAAGCUUGAGUUUUUAUUCGAGUACUCGAACUUGACAAGGUUGGAGAAUUGUACCAAGCUUUAUUGAAUCGAGCUCGAACUUAUGUGUUAUCUCUACAAGUGGAGUCGAGCUGCAAGUUAUUUUGCUCGAUCAA